CGCUGUGUGGGUGUGUGUGGAGUCUUGUAGCGUAGUGCAGCAUUCCUCUUCGAAGCUUCGUUCUUUUUGCACGUGUCUGUAAUAGAAAGGUCGACCAAUGUUAAUAUAUGAUUUCUCAAUAUCAACCAACAGAGAUCAUCAGCAGAGUGUUUCCAUCCAACUAUCCUUCAAUAUCUGGUUGUUAGUUUGAAAUGGCGGUGAUUGGUUGUACCAUUCGGCGUGCUGACAUUUCGCCCAAUCAGAGUCGUUGCUCUGUGGGUGAGUGCACAGCUUGUAGCAUCGUGCAGCAUUCCUCUUCGAAGCUUCGUCCGUUUUGCACUCUUCUACAGCAGCAUUACAGUUUCGAAGCAUUCCGAAACCAAUGGCUGUCAUUGGACAAUCCAUUCUACGUCUUCUCAUUUCGACCAAUCAGAUUCAUCGCUGCGCGGGUGCGUGCACAGACUUGUAGCAUAACCGAACAUUCGUUUUCGAAACUUCGUUCGCUUUGCACGUGUCUGCAACAGCAUUACAGUUUCGAAGCAUUCCGAAACCAAUGGCUGUGAUUGGACAAUCCAUUCUGCGUCUUCUCAUUUCGACCAAUCAGAUUCAUCGCUGCGCGGGUGCGUGCACAGACUUGUAGCAUAACCGAACAUUCGUUUUCGAAACUUCGUUCGCUUUGCACGUGUCUGCAACAGCAUUACAGUUUCGAAGCAUUCCGAAACCAAUGGCUGUGAUUGGACAAUCCAUUCUGCGUCUUCUCAUUUCGACCAAUCAGAUUCAUCGCUGCGCGGGUGCGUGCACAGACUUGUAGCAUAACCGAACAUUCGUUUUCGAAACUUCGUUCGCUUUGCACGUGUCUGCAACAGCAUUACAGUUUCGAAGCAUUCCGAAACCAAUGGCUGUGAUUGGACAAUCCAUUCUGCGUCUUCUCAUUUCGACCAAUCAGAUUCAUCGCUGCGCGGGUGCGUGCACAGACUUGUAGCAUAACCGAACAUUCGUUUUCGAAACUUCGUUCGCUUUGCACGUGUCUGCAACAGCAUUACAGUUUCGAAGCAUUCCGAAACCAAUGGCUGUGAUUGGACAAUCCAUUCUGCGUCUUCUCAUUUCGACCAAUCAGAUUCAUCGCUGCGCGGGUGCGUGCACAGACUUGUAGCAUAACCGAACAUUCGUUUUCGAAACUUCGUUCGCUUUGCACGUGUCUGCAACAGCAUUACAGUUUCGAAGCAUUCCGAAACCAAUGGCUGUGAUUGGACAAUCCAUUCUGCGUCUUCUCAUUUCGACCAAUCAGACACGUCGCUGCGUGAGCGAGUGCGUCGAUUUGUGGCGCAUUGCGUCAUUCCUCUUCGAAGCCACGUUCGCUUUGCACGCAUCUGCAACAGAAUUGCAGUCGAAUAAAGAAUACAACAUCACAAGUAUGAUAUGAAAUUAUUAAAUGAAUCUUCGCCAAAAUAAAUAAUUAUCAACCAAUGCCAGUAUGCCAACACUCUGCCUAUUAUACUACUCUAUAACAUCAAUCUGCUGAGGAGACCAUUUCCUGAGGAGACCAUCCGCCGGGUGUUUUCGUCCACUUUUCUUCCAAUAGCUGCUCACCGGUUCGGUGAGCCCAAAGAAUUAAAAAUUUCAUUCUUUUUUUAAGUGAGCAUAGUGACCCAUGAGUGAAUGUAUACUCAUGGAAUAUAUAUGUUACAUAUAUUUCAUAUCUUCUUUCAUUUUUAUAUUGUUAUAUUUCUUAGUUCAGGCUAGGGUCUUCUUGUCUCUUUUAAAAAAAUAGUUUGUAGGAUAGAAGUCGGAUGACUCUCCGACUUCACAAAUAAAAUAUAACUUUUAAAAUAUUUUUUUAAUUAAAGGAAAUUUAAAUUUUGAUAGUGUAUACAAAAUUUGUAUAUUUUAUAUGCAGUAAAUAUUACGUAGAUUUGCUACAAUACCUUGAUUAUACUAUAAUAUUUCAAUGCAGUAUAUUAUUAUAUUGUCGAUUUAAAUAAGUUUUAUGAGCAAGAAGACAUUUCGCGACGGUUAGAUUCUAACGUCGAAGUAACAUUUUCGAAUGUACGUUUCAUGCAACUUAGAUAAUUUACUUCGACAUGCAAUCAACCGAGGAUGUAUUACAUGUAUAUUAAUUAUCAAAUUGCAUUUUCAACAGAUACAAUUUUUGCUUAAA
This is a non-coding RNA of Osmia lignaria (orchard mason bee), 2137 nucleotides long. The record is from RefSeq and is a predicted model, not a curated record. Lineage: Eukaryota; Metazoa; Arthropoda; Insecta; Hymenoptera; Megachilidae.